CCAAUAGCGUAUAUUAAAGUUGUUGCAGUUAAAAAGCUCGUAGUUGAAUUUCGGAAUUCUUUUAUCGGUUGAAUCAACAGGUUCGUACUGAUUUUAAGAAUUUCUACCUUCUGGAGAACCUUAAUGUCAUUAAUUUGGUGUUUUGGGAAACCAGGACUGUUACCUUGAAAAAAUUAGAGUGUUUAAAGCAGGCUUACGUCUGAAUAUAUUAGCAUGGAAUAAUGAAAUAGGACGGCAUGGUUCUAUUUUGUUGGUUUCUAGGAUCACCGUAAUGAUUAAUAGGGAUAGUUGGGGGCAUUAGUAUUCAAUUGUCAGAGGUGAAAUUCUUGGAUUUAUUGAAGACUAACUUCUGCGAAAGCAUUUGCCAAGGAUGUUUUCAUUAAUCAAGAACGAAAGUUAGGGGAUCGAAGACGAUCAGAUACCGUCGUAGUCUUAACCAUAAACUAUGCCGACUAGGAAUCGGACGAAGUUAAUUUUUUAAUGACUCGUUCGGCGCCUUACG
RNAcentral lists this ribosomal RNA (502 nucleotides) under uncultured Glomeromycotina. RNAcentral describes it as "partial small subunit ribosomal RNA". It matches the Rfam family "Eukaryotic small subunit ribosomal RNA", at positions 591 to 1092 of the family's 1831-position model. The record is from RNAcentral. Lineage: Eukaryota; Fungi; Glomeromycota.